CUUUUGAUUCACUCACUCUGUUGACCCUCGGCGACAACGCAACUAAAGGGGAAAAUCACAAUUAUAAGCGGUCUUUACCUCAAAGCAUAUUCAGAAAAUGCUGCACAAGUGGACUAUUUGUCUUGCUCUUUUCGCAGCGUGUAUUGAGGCCGUCCCGUUCAGAGGACAAGAGUUUCUGAGCACCGGAGAUGUAAUUGUGGGCACCAAGGAAGAUGCUACGGGACAUUUCAUGGGAUCUCUUUCAGAAGACGGCUUUAAAAAGCGCGAAACGGCCGCUGAAGAAGACGUGAGCAGAGAUAAAAUCAAAACAAUCAACUGGCAGCUUAGUGUGAAAGGUCGCCAAAAAAAGAGACCGCGAAAUCCUCCACCGAAAACAGGCUGAGGCUUAGCCGAUGAGCCGUGUACUUCUAAAAGGAUGACUUGAUUAUUAAGACAUGCAUACUGAUCGGUCCUUUGCAGGGACGAAUCUUAAUCUAACUAAAUGUGCUCACCAUAAUACUGAAAUGAACCAGAACACUGUAAUAACUCUAAACGUACGUACCACCGAAAAUAAAGUUGUCGUUACGGCUCUUACGAGAGAGAAAUAAUUGAUGUAAAAUUAUUAAACCAUGCCCAUUUUUUUUAAACUGAGUUUAAUGACAAGAUCAUCCCUCAAUAUUUUUUUUCUUUUUCUGUUUUGAAGAAUGGAACUAAUUCUUUUGUUCUCAGUUUAUAGGAGAACUUGAAUUGCUAGAAUAAUCUGAGAGCGCUGGACAGGCGAUUGAACUGAACCUUUUGUUAUGUAGAAAUGCCCCAGGCGUCCGCCGCGCGGGGAUUGGAUUUGUAAAAUUUUGGGUUAGAAAAUAAAAAGGAGUUGAGCACAUGGAAUUUUAUGGCGUGCUGUGUCGGUUCGUGUUACAGUAGAUUAUAGGUCCUUUCCCUGCCCGAAAGAAUAUCCGAGGGCCGAAAUCAAACUCUAUUACAAGGAAGUAGAAAUCAUAACUAUAAAAAACGAAUUCAUUGUGAUUGGCUCUCUGGUGAUUGACCCGAUCACCUGGGUUUCCAAUUACAGGAAUCAAAUUAAGACUUUCUGAACACCUUGGACGCUUUCCAUUCAACAUAAACUUUUGGAACUUUCGAAACAGGAGCAAAAGGUACACAAAUGUUCAAGGAACGUUUCCGGAAUAUCCCAAAAGAAUUGUCGAAAAUGCAAAACGAAAUAAAAACCAUUCAACAGAAAAUUUCGAAAUGUGGAAGUAUGGAAGAACACCAAAAAGAUGUGGAAACACUACAAUUUUUAGGACGUCUGCAUCGAAAAGGAAGAGUUUGCCAUGAAAGGAUACAGUGAACUUUGGAAACAAUCUUGCAGAUUCUAAGAAACAUUUAUAUUACGAAAACCGAGAUAAAUUGACCUGCUAUAUCGAGAUUCGGUUAGUUAAGGUAAUUAUUACAAGUAAAUCGAGGAAAAUAAAGAGAACACUUGCAGAGUGCUCACUCACGUGGCCGGCAGCCAUGCAAAUUCAUUGGAACAAAAGAUAGUGUUUACAUAAGAAAAAAACUUUAACUCCCAAAGGAUUGGUUUGGGAUAAGGAUAUGCACGGGUUUUAAGACACCAAAAUGGCUGCCGUGACAUCACGUGAAAACAGUCUAUAAUCCUGAAAAACAUAACAAUCAUGUUUAAUAGUUUACUAGUGUGUCCUAUUCGUGAUCGGUUAAAAUCGUUGAGGGUUCGAUAAAAUCUAAAAUUUGAGUUUUUAUAC
This 1739-nucleotide long non-coding RNA is filed under the name Orbicella faveolata. RNAcentral describes it as "uncharacterized LOC110055005". Lineage: Eukaryota; Metazoa; Cnidaria; Anthozoa; Scleractinia; Merulinidae. The record is from RNAcentral.